Molecule: ribosomal RNA, 396 nt
Filed under: uncultured soil bacterium
Lineage: Bacteria
Description: bacterial SSU rRNA
Rfam family: Bacterial small subunit ribosomal RNA
Source: RNAcentral
AGAUUGAACGCUGGCGGCAGGCCUAACACAUGCAAGUCGAGCGGUAGAGAGGUGCUUGCAUCUCUUGAGAGCGGCGGACGGGUGAGUAAUGCCUAGGAAUCUGCCUAGUGGUGGGGGAUAACGUUCGGAAACGGACGCUAAUACCGCAUACGUCCUACGGGAGAAAGCGGGGGACCUUCGGGCCUCGCGCCAUUAGAUGAGCCUAGGUCGGAUUAGCUAGUUGGUGAGGUAAUGGCUCACCAAGGCGACGAUCCGUAACUGGUCUGAGGAGAUGAUCAGUCACACUGGAACUGAGACACGGUCCAGACCUCCGUACGGGACGGCAGCAGGUGGGGAAUAUUGGACAAGUGGGCGAAAGCCUGACGUCCACGCCAUGCCGCGUGUGUGAAGAAGGUC